This 75-nucleotide transfer RNA is filed under the name Alosa alosa (allis shad). RNAcentral describes it as "tRNA-OTHER". It matches the Rfam family "tRNA". From Rfam's summary of the family: Transfer RNA (tRNA) molecules are approximately 80 nucleotides in length. Their secondary structure includes four short double-helical elements and three loops (D, anti-codon, and T loops). Lineage: Eukaryota; Metazoa; Chordata; Actinopteri; Clupeiformes; Clupeidae. The record is from RNAcentral.
GGUAGUGUAGCCGAGCGGUCUAAGGGGCUGGAUUUAGUCUCGCUGGAGGCGUGGGUUCAAAUCCCACCACUGCCA